CUCUUCUUUAAUAUUUUUGAAGUAUGACCUGCCCAAUGAUAAAUUUUAAUGGCCGCAGUAUUUUGACUGUGCAAAGGUAGCAUAAUCAUUAGUCUUUUAAUUGAAGGCUGGAAUGAAUGGUUGGACGAAAUAAUAACUGUCUUAAUUUUAUUAAUUUAAAAUUUAAUUUUUAGGUUAAAAAGCUUAAAUAAAUUUUUGGGACGAGAAGACCCUAUAGAGUUUAAUAUUUAUUAAUAUUUAUUUUGUUAGUAAUAUGAAAAAUUUUAUGAAAUAUUUUGUUGGGGUGAUGGAAAGAUAAAAAUAACUCUUUUUAUUAAUUAAUUAUAAAUUUAUAUAAAUAUGAUCCAUAUUUAAUGAUUAUAAGACUAAAUUACCUUAGGGAUAACAGCGUAAUUUUAUUUAAGAGUUCAUAUUGACAAUAAAGAUUGCGA
This 431-nucleotide ribosomal RNA is filed under the name Rhabdoblatta sp. ZW-2018. RNAcentral describes it as "partial 16S ribosomal RNA". Lineage: Eukaryota; Metazoa; Arthropoda; Insecta; Blattodea; Blaberidae. The record is from RNAcentral.